GACGAACGCUGGCGGCGUGCUUAACACAUGCAAGUCGAACGGAAAGGCCCUGCUUUUGUGGGGUGCUCGAGUGGCGAACGGGUGAGUAACACGUGAGUAACCUGCCCUUGACUUUGGGAUAACUUCAGGAAACUGGGGCUAAUACCGGAUAGGAGCUCCUGCUGCAUGGUGGGGGUUGGAAAGUUUCGGCGGUUGGGGAUGGACUCGCGGCUUAUCAGCUUGUUGGUGGGGUAGUGGCUUACCAAGGCUUUGACGGGUAGCCGGCCUGAGAGGGUGACCGGCCACAUUGGGACUGGGAUACGGCCCAGGCUCCUACGGGAGGCAGCAGUGGGGAAUAUUGCACAAUGGGCGGAAGCCUGAUGCAGCAACGCCGCGUGCGGGAUGACGGCCUUCGGGUUGUAAACCGCUUUCGCCUGUGACGAAGCGUGAGUGACGGUAAUGGGUAAAGAAGCACCGGCUAACUACGUG
Molecule: ribosomal RNA, 468 nt
Filed under: uncultured bacterium
Lineage: Bacteria
Description: partial 16S ribosomal RNA
Rfam family: Bacterial small subunit ribosomal RNA
Source: RNAcentral